This 867-nucleotide unclassified non-coding RNA is filed under the name Hevea brasiliensis (rubber tree). The record is from RNAcentral. Lineage: Eukaryota; Viridiplantae; Streptophyta; Magnoliopsida; Malpighiales; Euphorbiaceae.
GGAACUGCCUUCUUUGCUUCAACCUGAGAAUCAAAUGCUUAAUAAUGAAAAUUCAACACCAUAUUUCCAUGUUUAGAAUAGUUCAAAGUUUCUAUCUCCUAAAUUAUAAUGCAAUUAAGAACUAAACAAGGCCUGUAAAAUAUGUGAAAUUACCAAAAAAGUGAGCAUUGAACCUGAAAAUUGAGAAACUGGAUCAAAAUUCAUGUCUGCACAGCCUUUUCCUCUUGAACAUUACAGUAAUUUUUCAUUAAUGGAAUUAGGGAUCACAGAGCUGAAUGGUAAUGAAGUUGAAGCUUAUAUGUGAAGUGAGUGAGUAUUAACAGCUUCAUAUUUUAUUCAAAAAAUUUAUCAAUGAUUUUUAACAUGAACCAAGUUGCACAGACGAAACAGAUAUAUAAAAUCUCUUCAACUACUUUGGGAUUAAGAUUUAGUUGAAUUUGAAAUUGAUCACAUUGCUUAUGCCACAUAUACUUGUAAAAAGCAGCAUAGAGUUUUCCAGCAGCCCAACAAUGAAUUAAGUGAUCCAUGGGGCAGUGACCAUUUAGUGCUUUAACUCUCAAGAUAAUAAAAGUUAUGGCCAGCCAAACAAAAUUAUGUUAUACAAAACUAUAGCUGAUGAAUAUUGUCCUUAUCUAUCUUCCCCUUCCUCAAUUUUCAAACAAAUUUAAUUGCAGUUUCCAUUAGCAUCAUUCUACUGAUUGAGAUUAAUUAGAGUCUUCUUCAUCGAUACAUAACUACACCAUCCAACUAAAUUGACUAUUGAGGAAGCCACCUCUAACAUCAAAUAGCACGGUUUCUUUCCUUCUAAAACAAAAUCUGUCAAUUCUAAAAAUGGAAUCCAUUCUGUCAUUGAAAUUUUGAUUUCUG